GAGAAAGAGUUGAGAGACUUCGAGAGAGAGCAAGAAGAGCAAAGGCAAUAAGAGGAGGGAAUCGAUUUGUAUCAAGGUGGAAAUCAAGCAAGGUUUAGAUAUUUGUUCAAGUCCAUUAAGAAGGGAGCCAAGGAAGAAGCAAGGGGAAGUUAGUAUGGAAGAAAAAGCAAAAGCAAGAGCAAGUACUCCUAAGGGCAAGGGAGUAGUGAUCAGUGGAGUUUGAAGGUGCAGGAAGCGGACGAUCUUUUGUAUAUAUAUAUUUUGCUUAAAAUGCAUCUUAUUUUGAAGUGAAAAUAUAUUGUGUAUCUAUUUUGGUAUGUAAAUAUUCCUCCAUAAGGAGAUGGUUAAGGGCAGAUAAACCAUGGUAACUACUAUUGAAGGAAAUGAUCAAUAUUUUGAUAUAUAGUUAUUAUUUUGUCUAAAAUUAUAUGUAUCUGUAUAUGUAACUCGUUGUACGAGCCUAUGGCCAGAAUGUUGAAUGUUAGAUCCUACUGGCUAUAAUUGAUUUGA
Long non-coding RNA from Neltuma alba, 510 nucleotides. RefSeq lists it as uncharacterized. NCBI's taxonomy places the organism in Eukaryota, Viridiplantae, Streptophyta, Magnoliopsida, Fabales, Fabaceae. The record is from RefSeq and is a predicted model, not a curated record. The transcript is spliced from 3 exons.